CCUCCCCAUCUAAACCACCUCCCCUCCCCGUCUAAACCACCUUCCCUCCCCAUCUGAACCCAUAGUCUUUGCCUAAACCAUAUCCCAUUCCCUUCUAAACACGUGACCACUGCUUUAAUCCAUUAUUCCCGGUGCUUAUUCGUUCCUCUUCCUCAACGAUGUUAUUGUCUACAAAAUGUUUAUGGUAAUGCACAUUAUACUUAUUUUUUUUUUGCAUGUAUAUACAGCAUGCCAUUUUUUAUUUUGGUUUCAUAAUCGCACCUUCUUGAUUGGAAUAUUUAUUUGCAAUAAGGAGGUGGUAAGUAGCUUAGUGGUGAGACCAUAUGGCUCAUACCCUUAAAAUUAUAAGAUGUCGGCUAAAUGUAUGGGCACGUUUUCAUAACACCUGUGUCUGUCUAGCACAGUGAUUCUCAACCAGGGGUAAAUGUACCCCUUGGGGGUAAAAAAAUUACAUGGCAAGGGGCAAAUAUUUGAUGUAAAAAACCUGAAUAAUUUUUUUUUCUGACCUUGUUUUUCUUUCUCUUUACGAUGGCGAUAAUUUUUUUUGUAUGGAAGUAAGGGGGUAAAUCGAGAAAUACAUCAAGUCGAGGGGGUUAAUGAAAUAGGAAAAGUUGAGAAUCCCUGGUCUAGCAGCAAGCAUAAUUAACAGUGUGCUAGCAAACUGUUGUUGCUCAUAAUGAAGAAAAAAAUUUCUAUGCAUUUAUAUUAGAAGCUCUAAUAUAAAUGCAUAGUAUUUAUAUUAGAACUUCUAACAGGCAACUAUGGCACUGUCCGUUUCAUAGUUGCCUGUUUCAUCAUGGAUCUGUAAUGCUAUAGUGAGAUGUCGACAUCUGGGGUACGUGAAAGUUGAAGCCACAGGAUUUUCACAAUGAAAGCCUACUUUUGUGACACACACAGUCUUCCUUGAUAUCUUUUUAAAUAUUUCAUCCAAGUGAAAGUGUUUCAUGUGCUUUGAUCUUUCCAUAUGUAAUUUUUCAUACAUAAAAAAAAAGAAUAUUAGCUCUUGUUCCGUCACAAAGGAAAGUUGUUCUUGUUCUCUGAUUAGUUCACUUCACUCCACAAGGGGGGCAGUAAAGCAAUAGCAAAGGACUACAGACCAACAACGCUAACGUCUCGUAUCAUAAAAAAUCUAGAUACUCAUCAGUUACACAACCCAGGGCAGCAUGGGUUUAGAGCAUGUCGCUCCUGUCUGUCCCAGCUACUGGACCACUAUGACAAGGUCCUGGAUGCUUUAGAAGACAAAAUGCAGAUGUAAUAUACACAGACUUUGCAAAAGCCUUUGACAAGUGUUACCAUGGUGUAAUAGCGCACAAAAUGCGUGAUAAAGGAAUAACAGGAAAAGUUGGUAGAUGGAUCUAUAAUUUCCUAACAAAUAGAACACAAAGAGUAGUAGCAAACAGAGUAAAGUCUGAGGCGGCUACAGUGAAAAGCUCUGUUCCACAAGGCACAGUACUCGCUCCCAUCUUGUUCCUCAUCCUCAUAACUGACAUAGACAGGGAUACAAGCCACAGCGCUGUGUCUUCCUUUGCAGAUGACACCCGAAUUUGCAUGACUGUCCUCCAUUGAAGACACUGCAAGACUCCAGGCGGACAUCAACCAAAUCUUUAAACGGGCCAAAGAAAACAGUAUGAAAUUCAUUGAUGAGAAAUUUCAAUUACUCCGAUAUGGAAAACGUGAGGAAAUUAAAACUGCAUCGGAAUAUAAAACAAAUUCCAACCACACAAUAGAGCGAAAAACAAAUGUAAAAGACCUGGAAGUGAUCAUGUCAGAGGAUCUCACCUUCAAAGACCAUAACAUUGUAUCAAUUACAUCUGCUAGAAAAAUGACAAGAUGGAUAAUGAGAACCUUCAAAACUAGGGAUGCCAAGCCCAUGAUGACACUCUUCAGGUCGCUUGUUCUAUCUAGGCUGGAAUAUUGCUGCACACUAACAGCACCUUUUCAAGGCAGGUGAAAUUGCUGACCUAGAAAAUGUAGAGAGAACCUUCACGGCACACAUAAAUGUGAUAAAACACCUCAGUUACUGGGAACACUUGAAGUUCCUCAACCUGUACUCCCUAGAACGCAGGCGGGAAAGAUACACGAUUAUAUACACGUGGAAAAUCCUAGAGGGAUUAGUACCAAAUUUUCACACGAAAAUCACUCCUUAUGAAAGCAAAAGACUCGGCAGACGAUGCAACAUCCCCCCAAUGAAAAGCAGGGGUGUCACUAGCACGAUAAGAGACAACACAAUAAGUGUCAAGGGCCCAAGACUGUUCAACUGCCUCCCAACAUACAUAGACCCCUGGCUGUCUUCAAGCAGGCACUGGACAGACAACUAAAGUUAGUACCUGACCAGCCGGGCUGUGGUUCGUACGUCGGUUUACGUGCGACCAACAGUAACAGCCUAGUUGAUCAGGCCCUGACCCACCAUGAGGCCUGGUCACGGAGACCCCCGAAACCGUCUCUAGGUAUACUCUAGACAGCUCAAUUAAUUUGUCAUUAGCCAUAGCUAUUGACAAGUUAUUGUAUAGCUAUUAACUCUAGCCAAAGAGGGUUAAUCGUUAGCAAAAUAGGGUAAUAAUUGAACAAAAUUAAGCAGCUACAGUGGAAACAAGUGAGCGUGUAGUACAUAUAUAUGUUCUUUGUGGCCACUCAGUAAACUGGUGUGGCAAAAAUAAGUAGUCUCGUAAUUUUGUCCUGACCAAAAGAGGUGCCGGACCAUCCAUUACCGUUGUCAGGAAAUUCAUCACAUCUUUAUGUAGUUCAUAUGAUGGCAGAUGAGUGGGAAUCAUUUGAUUACUAAUAGCUACUGUUUUAGCCAUGGGGAUACAUCCAGCCCGAAUCUUGCGUCAGAGGAGUAUACCUCCUCCAGCAGUCCUAGUGCAACUGUGUAAAGGACACGAGACCCAGGAGGAAGAGGCACGACCUGCAUGUAAGGUCCGCAUGUGGUGUGAGGACACAAGUUUCUGUGAGUGGAAAGAUAGAGAGUGGUGGUGUAGGGGCAUGGAGGGUGGAAGGAACAUGCCACAGGUGGUAACAAUUAUGGUCUACAUGAUGCUGUGCCUGCUGCUGGUGCUGAGCGCAGUGUUCAUGUCGUGCUUCUCCGUUGUCUCAGCCACUGUGUUCCUCUCAACUCUCACCCCUAAGUUCUACGUGGCACUAACAGGAACCUCCUCCCUAAUAUCUGGACUUAUUUUGAUAUUUGAAUGGUGGUACUUCAGAAAAUAUGGCACGUCUUUUAUUGAGCAAGUUUCCCUUAAUCAUCUCAGUCCAUGGAUUGGUGGGGGAGAAAAUCCUGCAGCAGACAAUACCACUGCAAGCUCCAACAACAAUAAUAACCAGCAGAGUGUACCAGAGUGUAAAGUUUGGCGCAAUCCUCUUAAUUUAUUUCGUGGUUCUGAAUAUCAACGGUUAACGUGGUCAACCAAAAAAGAGCCGUUGACUUAUUAUGAUAUGAACCUAUCUGCUCAGGACCACCAGACCUUCUUCACUUGUGAGGCUGAUGCUGGCAAGCCGGAAUAUGAAAUAAUGCAGACUGCGUGGAGGGAAAGAAACCCAGAAGUUCGCAUCAAAUCUGCACGUUCUGCUUUAGAUCUGAACCCAGAAUGUGCCUCGGCAUAUAUUCUGCUAGCAGAGGAAGAAUGUACCUCUAUUAUUGAAGUGGAGAAGAAGUUGAAAAUAGCUCUGAAACAUGCAGAGACAAAUUACAGAAGAUCUCAAGUAACACAACACCAGAGUAGUGCAAUGGAAGCUUUACAUAGACGAGACACAAAUGUAUUCAUAUAUAUUAAGAGACGGCUAGCCAUGUGUGCUCGAAAAUUAGGCAAAAUGAAGGAAGCAAUAAAGAUGUUUCGAGAUAUCCAACCAGGCCGGGUCCAGGCGAGAGAUGAGUCAUCUUGUACAGUCCUCUACCUUGUGCAGAAGUCAGAGAUGAGACGGGGAACAAGCAAUCCAAGAAAAUGGUGUAUACUCAAGUUAACCAAAGAAGUGCCUCCAAUUAUGAAUGUGUUAAACCUUCAUGAAAAUCUUCUGGAGGCGCUACUAGAGGUCGGGGCAUAUGCUGAUGCUCAGGCAGUUCUGGCUAAAUAUGAUGAUAUAGCACUACCCAAGUCUGCUACUAUAUGUUACACAGCGGCACUCUUGAAGGCGCGCACAGUAGCUGAUAAAUUUUCUCCAGAUAUAGCCAGUAAACGUGGUCUCACAGCAGCAGAAAUGGCAGCGGUUGAAGCUAUUCACCGUGCUGUAGAGUUCAAUCCACAUGUUCCCAAGUAUCUCCUGGAGAUGAAGCCUCUCAUUCUUCCACCAGAGCACAUCCUUAAGCGAGGCGACUCUGAGGCUAUUGCUUAUGCAUUUUUUCACCUUCCACAUUGGAAGAGGGUGGAUGGGGUUCUGAAUCUCCUUCACUGCACUUGGGAGGGAACCUUCCGUAUCAUUCCAUAUCCUCUAGAAAAAGGUCACCUCUUCUACCCUUACCCUACGUGUACAGAGUGUGCUGACCGAGAGCUUCUACCAUCUUUCCAUGAGGUGUCAGUAUACCCAAAGAAGGAGUUGCCAUUCUUCAUUGUGUUUACCGCAGGGUUGUGUUCCUUCACAGCUCUUCUGGCACUACUCACUCACCAGUAUCCAGAACCCAUGGGGGCCCUGGCCAAGACGACCUCACUGAUGAGAGCUGCGACUCUAUGCACGAGACUAUGACACCUACAUCAUUUAUUUUUGGUACAGUUUGCUCCUGAGUUGGUGGUAUGUUCCCAUCCAGUAUGUGCUAGAGAAGUUAGAAGCGGUUUUGCCUUCAAAUCUCCUACAUCACUUAUCACGAAUCUGACCAUCAUGCUUAAGUAUGGUAGCAACUGCUGGGAGCAUCAUUCUUUGUCAUUGACGUUUCAUUUCAACACAUCCUGCAGCAGAUAUUGUUAUUGUGUCAAAAUUAGCUACUGAUAGUGUUGGUUGGUGCAGUAAAACUAUUUCCUGAUAUUGAAGAUUUUAGUUUUAAUUAAAUCAACCGCAGGCUCCAAUUGCUUAUUUUGUCACACCUAGUGUUGUGAUUUGCUGUUUAGAGUUACAAAUUGUACUUAAGUAUGCUUGAACUUGUAUGGUUAUUUAUGAAUGAAGAGAGACAAACAUGACUCGUACUGAGAUGCUGGUGUCCAUUGCACAAAACAAUCAAGAUAUAUUUAUUUU
Cherax quadricarinatus is the source of this 5157-nucleotide non-coding RNA. The record is from RefSeq and is a predicted model, not a curated record. Lineage: Eukaryota; Metazoa; Arthropoda; Malacostraca; Decapoda; Parastacidae.